Molecule: small RNA, 28 nt
Filed under: Bombyx mori (domestic silkworm)
Lineage: Eukaryota; Metazoa; Arthropoda; Insecta; Lepidoptera; Bombycidae
Description: ovarian small RNA-3168
Source: RNAcentral
UAUUUGAUGGAAACAGGCGUGUUGCCUC